This 439-nucleotide ribosomal RNA is filed under the name uncultured bacterium. RNAcentral's name for it is "partial 16S ribosomal RNA". It matches the Rfam family "Bacterial small subunit ribosomal RNA", at positions 338 to 795 of the family's 1533-position model. The record is from RNAcentral.
CCUACGGGUGGCAGCAGUGAGGAAUAUUGCACAAUGGGCGAAAGCCUGAUGCAGCAACGCCGCGUGAGGGAUGAAGGCCUUCGGGUCGUUAAGCCUCGUCCUCAAGGAAGCUAAUGCCGGUACUUGAGGCGGAAGCCCCGGCUAACUACGUGACAGCAGCCGCGGUAAUACGGAGGGGGCUAGCGUUAUCCGGAAUUACUGGGCGUAAAGGGUGAGUAGGUGGUUUCUUAAGUCAGAGGUAAAAGGCUGCGGCUCAACCGUAGUAAGCCUGUGACACUGGUAGACUUGAGUGCAGGAGAGGAGUGGGGAAUUCCUAGUGUAGCGGUGAAAUGCGUAGAUAUUAGGAGGAACUCCAGUUGCGAAGGCAGCUUUCUGGACUGUAACUGACACUGAGGCACGAAAGCGUGGGGAGCGAACAGGAUUAGAUACCCCGGUAGUC